CAUAACAAAAUGGGUCAUUAUUUAGUUCUUUAGGCAAGUACCAUGAACCGAAGGUCACAAGCCAGAGGAGUAUUUCCGGGACUACAUCAUAAAUGAGAAAGUCUUGAAAGUCAUUUCCUCUAAUAUGUCAUUAGCCUGGUGCCAGGUGGAAGUGCACAACCACAUUGACAGGAGGCAGGGGCACUUCUGCAGCCUAACAGGAUGGCUUGUUACUGUGAGGGCUCCCCAAGCCACAAAUAGAACUCCUCUUUGAAGAGCCUUAUGCAUCAGGCUAAUGCAGUGAUUUCAGGAAGGCAAGCAUAUUAGAAAACACUGAAAACCAGACUCAUUUUCAGUUAAUAAGGAAGGAAUCAGCACAUAUGUACUGCAAGGGCAGAGUAUGUCUUUCAGGCUCUGCUGCAGCCUGAGUGCUUUUAAAAUACCUACACCAGGGUGGAGAUCAAAUAAAUAACAAAUGAAUGAAAGAAUGAAUGAGCGAACACUUGUAUGCAUUCUCAGGGGUUGAGGCUUGGCAUGUAUUGAAAAUUGACUCGAUAUACACAAUUAUAUCUUAUACUGCUCACAUUAUAUUGCAUUACAUGCAGUUAACCAUUCUAACAGCCCUAUAAGGGAGGGACUAUUAUUAACCCUUAUUUAGAAAUGUGGAAAUUUCACACUAGAAAUGUAAAUUAAAUAGUUAAAUCCACAUAAUUAAUAAUUGACAGUUGAGCAAAGGCUUAUAAACUAAGGUCACUAUAGCUCAAAGCUCAUGCUGUAACUAUUAUAAUAUUGUGCUUAAUUUUCAGGAAAAAUCCAGAAGGCUAAUAGCAUUUUCUGUAUUUUACAAAAGAAUAGAUGAGUUAUCAGAGUUUACAGCAGAAUUUGAACUUGAACCCACCAGCCUGUUGCCAAAGCCCUUUCCUCCACCCACAUUUACCUUCUGUGUAUUCACUUCCCCAAAGUGGAACACUGUGCUCACAGGGGCUGAUUUCCCAGUUCUGCAUGAAGCCACCCUCGUUCUGAACUCCAUGGCCAGUAUAUGGGCUGGUAUUAGUUUCCUAUCGCUACUGUUGACAAAAUACCACAAACUAAGUGACUUGAAAUAACCCACUUUUAUUAUCCUAUAGUUGUAGAGGUCUUAGGUUCAAGACAGUCUCAUGGGGCUAAAGCAAAGAUGUCAGCUGGGCUGUUUCCCUCUAAGGCUGCCAGGGAGACUUUAUUUCAUUGACUUGGCCAGCUUCUAGAGGUCGUGUGCAUUCCUUGGCUGUGGCCCUUCACUCCAUCUUCAAAGCUAGCAGCAUAGUUGUCCCAUCUUCUUCACUGACUGCUUCUGUCUUUACAUCUCCUCCUCUGACUCCAACUCUCCUGCCUUUCUGUCAUAAGAAGGCUUGUGAUUACCUUGAGCUCACCCAGGUAAUCCAGGGUCAUCUUACCUCCCCAAGACCCUUUAUUUAACCACAUCUGCAAAGUUUCUUUUGCCAUGUAAGAUAACAUUAUAGGAUCUGGGGGAUUUGAGCAUAGACAUUUUGGGGGAGCCAUUAUCUGUAUGGUCUCAUCCGGAAUAUCUUUGCUUUCCCCUGGUUCUUCCCCUUCAAUCCACCAAAAGUAUAUUCAUCUACCCACUCCAGGGUUUGGAUUAAUAAUAUACUAAUAAUGUAUAAAAGAAAAAGAACCACAGUUCAGAUUUUUUCAUGACAGUAUUGUUAAUGUUCGAAAAAUUUUAGAGCUACAUCAAUAUCAUUUUAAUUAGUGACUAUGGAGUUCUUGAAAUAAUACGAAAGUAAUGAUGGAAGAUCAAGACUUGCUUAUAUUUGAAGUGAAAGAGGCAGAACAUAUAAUAGGAGCAGCCUUGUAAUAUUUAUGCAUUUGAAAGUCUCAAAGGAAAUAUAGGAAUGUGAAUUUAAUUUACAAGAAAUGAUGAGCAUCUUUAUUUAACUUUCUGCAUUAUUCUUAUCUUAUUUUCAGGUUCCCAUAUCCUCCAUGUGACUCCCACUAAAAAUCAGCUUCCGCUGAUAUUCUGUCUUCUCUAAAUUAUGCUUUGUAAAGUAUUUCUGAAAAUUUCGCUCACUUACAGUGUUGCAUGCCGGAGUCAUCUCUCCCCAGCUCAAUUGUAUAUUUAAGAUCCCAAACCACUUAACAUAUAGCUGAACAUUCAAUUAAAAAGCCUAUACAUUAUAUCAAAUUCAACAAAUUUUUUGGAAUGUGUACUAUGCAGCGUCACGGAUGUCAUUCUUUGCUUAGACUGGAACAAUUUAUGCCUGCCUCUCUCACUUACAAACAUAUCCUGAUUUGAAUGAUAAAUUAUGUAGUCCCCCUAAAUAUGCAGCCCGUGUCAAGGGUUAUUCUUGGUGAUAACAGUAAGCGUGGUUCCUGAUCUCAAUGAAAGAGCACUAGAAAGUCUGAGACAGUGUGGCAGGCAGAAUAAUGGGUCCCCUACCCCCAAAUGCCCACAUCUUAAUCCUGGGACCCUGUGAAUAGGUUGCACUAUAUGGCGUAGAGGAAGGUCACAGAUGGGAUUAGGUUGCAAAUCAGUUGACUUGAAAAUAAGGGGAUUAUCCUGGAUGAUGUGGGUGUGCUCAGUGUGAUCACAAGGGUUCUAAAAUGGCAAAAAGUAAAAAAGAGUAAGAAGGAGAUAUGACUAUGGAAGAAAGACAGUGAGAGAUGUAGUAACAUCACUGGUUUUGAAGAUGACGGAAGGGCACCGAGAGCCGAGGGGGCAGGUGGACCCUGGAAGCAGAGAGGACAAAGGGAUAGAUUCUCCCCCAGAGCCUCUGGAAGAAAUGCAGCUCUACCAACAUUCUGCUUUCAGCCCAAGGUACCUAAGAUAGACUUCUGAGCUCUAGAACUGCAAGAUAACACAUUUAUGCUGUUUUAAGCCACAAAAUUUGUCAUAAUUUCUUACAACAUCAACAGAAAAUUGGUACAAGCUUACAAUUCUGCCUGUACUGGAGUAUAGGUCGCUCAAACUAAUUAAUGGCAACAGAAAUCCUUAUAUCACACUCCUUCCUUUUGGUGUCAGUUGCUGUUUUUGUUCUUGUAUGAUUAUUCAAGUCUAGCCUUUUCCUUGGACAAUAACUGUAUUAAAUAUUGACAUGAUACCAUAUUCAAGUAGUAAAGCUUUAAUAGUUGAAUAAUUAAGCACCAAUAAAAGGAAAGUAAGGACUGAAUUUAAUUUCCAAGUCAAGUCAACCUGCAGGAUUCCUCAAAGAUAUAUGAUGGUUUCAGAAAGAAUGGGUCUACUCCAAAAGGAUGUUUGGACUGGAUACAGCCGUUUCUCGGGAUAGAAACAACACCAAAUUUAGUUCACUUUCUGGGAAGGUAAGAGCUGUACUAUUCAGGAUUCUAGGAGAGAGAUCUCAUUUGCGUUGUGUGUCUGAUCAAAGCACUUACUUGGGUAUGGCUGCGGCUGUUCUGCUGUUUCUUGAGGUAAAAGGAGCUGCCUGGAGAGAGCAACUUUCACUUGCUGAGUAGGCUUUUCAUCUUGAACCUUUCCCAGGUAUGCCAGCAUCUUCUCCUUGAGUGAGGGGAUCUGGGUUCUUUGAUCUCCCACCUGCAAGAUAGGUCACCUGCUCUCUCAGUGAACUUGAUCAGCAGUCAAAAGAAAUGAGCACUUCAAAUAAGAAAAAGAAAGGGACUGAAAUUCAGAAGGUAUUGGGCUGGAUACUUAUACUGUAUCUCAGUCAACACACAUAACACCCUAAGGCACAGAUUUUUGUAUUAGGACUCUUUUUGUUGCAAGUGAAAGAGUCAUAACACAAACCAUGUUAAGCAUGUAUGGGAAUUGAGGGUCUCAAGUAGCUGAGAAUUCUAGGAGUCUUAGUUGGGCCUUAAGAAAUGUGAAGCUUAAGUGUUUUCCUUUCUGCCUCCCUUUCUCUCUCCCCUCUCUUUCUCAUGGUUGCAUUAUUCCAUGCACUGUGGUACGGAAUCAACAUCUUGGUUCUCUGGGCUUAAAUCAGUUGAGACGCCCAGAGGAUGCUUGGAUCAUAUGAGCAUCCUCGAAUCAAUCUUUGUGGUGAAGGAGUUAGAUACUAACAUGGAGCAAACCUGUAUCACAUGAGCAGUUCUCUCGUGAAGGGCUAGAAGACUGGGAUGGAGAGGCCUUCGGAGAGCACGUUAAGUGAAGGAGGAGCAAUUUCCCAUAGAAAAAGGAGCUCUGCCUAACAGAAGGGAGAGGAGGACUACUGAUAGAGCCAAUGUGAAGAAAUGUUUAUUACAGCAAUUUUCCCUAUGUAGACAAAAGUAAAUGAAGUAUCCAAGAGGAUACUUUAAUUGUGCUUUUAAAGUUUGCACAACUAAUAAUGACAAAGAAUCAGAGCCCGGUUUUUUUCUGAUUCUGAAGCCUGUACUCUUUCUGCGAUAGGCCUGGGGCCACUGCAAUAUUCAUCGACUCUUGAAAAGGAUAGCUUUUCUUACACAUUAGAAUUAAUAUACUUCAUUUCAUAAGGCAACUGAAAGUUAUACUAUCAAGUUGUAGAAGUGAUUAUUUGGGGAAUAUAAAAUGUCUGUUUCAUCUGGAAAUUAUUUAGCAAGGAGGAUUCUUUCACUUUAUUUUAAAAUAUUUCAAAAGGUACAUUAUAAUCUUUUAAGGCCAUUAGAGGAGUCUUUAGUGGCUUAAAAUGGUUUUUCACAUGGUUUGAAGAUUUUUUGUUGUUGUUGUUGUUGUUGUCUUUUUGCCUUAUCUAGGGCCGCUCCUGCGGCACAUGGAGGUUCCCAGGCUAGGGGUCUAAUCAGAGCUGUAGCUACCAGCCUACACCAGAGCCACAGCAAUGCAGGAUCUGAGCCGCAUCUGCAAGCUACACCACAGGUCAUGGCAACGCCGGAUCGUUAACCCACUGAGUGAGACCAGGGAUCAAACCCUCAACCUCAUGGUUCCUAGUCGGAUUUGUUAACCACUGCGCCACGACAGGAACUCCAAGAUUUUUCUCACCUACAUAGCUUGUCAUCAAAAAACAAGGACCUAUUGUAUAGCACAGGAUACCUGCUCAAUAUAUAUCUGAUUCACUUUGCUAUAUAUCUGAAACUAAUAACUAUACUCCAAUAAAAUUCUUUUAAAAAUUACUAUCUUAACUGCUCAAAUGGGUUAAGACAAAUCUUUCCUUCCUAUGCAAUGUUAAUAGUAUUUCAAAUUGGUCCACGAUUUUGGCAUGGGGGAUAUUGGCCAGAGG
RNAcentral lists this long non-coding RNA (5144 nucleotides) under Sus scrofa (pig). RNAcentral's name for it is "lncRNA (ENSSSCG00000054573.1)". The record is from RNAcentral. Lineage: Eukaryota; Metazoa; Chordata; Mammalia; Artiodactyla; Suidae.